UUGACCUCAAAUCAGGUAGGACUACCCGCUGAACUUAAGCAUAUCAAUAAGCGGAGGAAAAGAAACUAACAAGGAUUCCCCUAGUAACUGCGAGUGAAGCGGGAAAAGCUCAAAUUUAAAAUCUGGUGGUCCUAGACUAUCCGAGUUGUAAUCUAGAGAAGUGUUAUCCGUGUUGGACCGUGUACAAGUCUCCUGGAAUGGAGCGUCAUAGAGGGUGAGAAUCCCGUCUUUGACACGGACUACCAAUGCAUUGUGAUGCGCUCUCAAAGAGUCGAGUUGUUUGGGAAUGCAGCUCAAAACGGGAGGUAAAUUCCUUCUAAAGCUAAAUAUUGGCGAGAGACCGAUAGCGAACAAGUACCGUGAGGGAAAGAUGAAAAGAACUUUGGAAAGAGAGUUAAACAGUACGUGAAAUUGCUGAAAGGGAAACGCUUGAAGUCAGUCGCGUUGUCCGGGAAUCAACCUUGCUUUUGCUGGGUGUACUUUCUGGUUGACGGGUCAGCAUCAAUUUUGACCGUUGGAUAAAGAUUAGGGGAAUGUGGCAUCUUCGGAUGUGUUAUAGCCUCUGGUUGCAUACAACGGUUGGGAUUGAGGAACUCAGCA
This 600-nucleotide ribosomal RNA is filed under the name Galerina semilanceata. Its description in RNAcentral is "eukaryotic LSU rRNA". It matches the Rfam family "Eukaryotic large subunit ribosomal RNA", at positions 1 to 600 of the family's 3401-position model. Lineage: Eukaryota; Fungi; Basidiomycota; Agaricomycetes; Agaricales; Galerinaceae. The record is from RNAcentral.